CAGCCGCCGCGGUAAUACGAAGGGGGCUAGCGUUGUUCGGAAUCACUGGGCGUAAAGCGCACGUAGGCGGACUUUUAAGUCAGGGGUGAAAUCCCAAGGCUCAACCUUGGAACUGCCUUUGAUACUGGAAGUCUUGAGUUCGGGAGAGGUGAGUGGAACUGCGAGUGUAGAGGUGAAAUUCGUAGAUAUUCGCAAGAACACCAGUGGCGAAGGCGGCUCACUGGCCCGAUACUGACGCUGAGGUGCGAAAGCGUGGGGAGCAAACAGGAUUAGAUACCCCGGUAGUCCCUGUCUCUUAUAA
Molecule: ribosomal RNA, 301 nt
Filed under: uncultured bacterium
Lineage: Bacteria
Description: partial 16S ribosomal RNA
Rfam family: Bacterial small subunit ribosomal RNA
Source: RNAcentral